This 411-nucleotide ribosomal RNA is filed under the name uncultured bacterium. RNAcentral's name for it is "bacterial SSU rRNA". It matches the Rfam family "Bacterial small subunit ribosomal RNA", at positions 505 to 916 of the family's 1533-position model. The record is from RNAcentral.
GUGCCAGCAGCCGCGGUAAUACGUAGGGUGCAAGCGUUAAUCGGAAUUACUGGGCGUAAAGCGUGCGCAGGCGGUUCGGAAAGAAGGAUGUGAAAUCCCAGGGCUUAACCUUGGAACUGCAUUCUUAACUACCGGGCUAGAGUGUGUCAGAGGGAGGUGGAAUUCCGCGUGUAGCAGUGAAAUGCGUAGAUAUGCGGAGGAACACCGAUGGCGAAGGCAGCCUCCUGGGACAACACUGACGCUCAUGCACGAAAGCGUGGGGAGCAAACAGGAUUAGAUACCCUGGUAGUCCACGCCCUAAACGAUGUCAACUAGCUGUUGGGGCCUUCGGGCUUUAGUAGCGCAGCUAACGCGUGAAGUUGACCGCCUGGGGAGUACGGUCGCAAGAUUAAAACUCAAAUGAAUUGACGG